ACGUGCUUCCUGGCUUCAAAGCUCAUUACCUAGGGAAAACCCAAGGUGAACUUAGGAGUUUGUAAAAACAGUUUGAUGAUUGAGUGGUCAUAAAAAGAAUACUUAAUUUACCCCAAUGUAAGCCUUUUAUCAACUCUACAGGGUUGGAUGGUGACCCCUGCCCCCUGGAAGACCCCCUCAAAUGUUGAGGCUGCCCUUCAGAAUCCACAGAAGGGGGCUCCUUCCUCUGAUGGCUGUCCAUGAAUCCGGCAACGAAUGUGGUGUAGAAAGGCAAUUUAAACCUGUUGGUUAAAGACCAGUGUUACAGCAAGAGUGAGCCUUAUGGAAUAGCACCUAGGAUACUAUUGUGGGAUGAAAUGUAUUCAUGUGUGUGCAAAUUGAAGACUCUAAGGUUUGGAAGACAUGGGUUAAUAUGGGAAGUGUCGUUUUUUAGAGUUAGAUUUUGACCUGAGUUUGAAGGGCUAGAGGGGUCAGGAAUGACAUGAAGAAUUUUAGGAAAAAAUGAAUAAAAGGAAGGAAGAUAACCAUUCAAGUGAGGUUGGUAGAAGUUGGGAAGGGGAUGAGGUUAAGUGUUGAUUAGUGGAGAAGCUUUUAGGGAAAACUGAAUCCCAUGUGGCUUCAGGAAAAAUGGAACUUCAUUAGCUCAUGUAAGUGAAAUCCAAGCUAAUCUUGUCUUUAGGAAGGGCUGGUCCAGGGCUCAGAUGGUGUGGUCAGGGAAGCACCCCCCUCCCUCUAUCUGGUAGCCAGGCUCCCUCCAAGUGGUUAAGUAAGACACAUUCUCUGAGCCCAGGGAUCCAGGGAGAAAACCUUUCCUGAUAGUUCCAGGAGACAAAUUUCAAAGAGGUCUCUGGCUGCUGAAGAGAUUUGGUCACAGGUCCAACCCUCUCCCAGGCACCGUGACCUUAGCAGAAUUGGGGUGUAUUGGGCAGGGGCAGCUGAGUAAACCCCAUGGGAUGGGUUGACCACCACCAAGAAGAGUUCUGCUCCCAGAAGACAGGACAAAGGAUGCCAGGCAGGCAAGAGGAGCACAUCCAUAGCAGGUAGUGAGUGCUCUGCCUAACCUCCC
This 1066-nucleotide long non-coding RNA is filed under the name Dasypus novemcinctus (nine-banded armadillo). Its description in RNAcentral is "lncRNA (ENSDNOG00000050425.1)". Lineage: Eukaryota; Metazoa; Chordata; Mammalia; Cingulata; Dasypodidae. The record is from RNAcentral.